UUCCCCCCACCUACUCUUAUAUCAUGGAAAGCAUUAUCUGGUCUGCCAGGAUUAGUGCGGAAAAGUUUGCCUGUGGCUAACACGCCAAGCAGAUUGUUGACGGUGUGUGUGUUGUUACGGCGUAAUUCAUUCUAAUUAUAAUCUUACACUAAAACAACGUUGUACACCCUGCGUCUGGCAAGUCGGAGAGGAAAUCGUUCUUAAUUGUCAUUCCAUCAUAAUUAUAAUUAAUGGCUGAAUGAGUGCACAGUAACUUAGUGGAUAACAAGUGUUGAUUGUGUAACUAAGGUUCUUUCCCCGAAAUUACAGAUGACCUCGGCCUAUUGAAAUACCACCACCUGCGAGGUCUUUAUCUUCUUGCAGUCUCACUGUUAUUCUUACAAAUGUUACACCCUCCUUUCUCGCAGUAAAAAAACAGAGAGCAAGAUGAAUCAAAAGGCAGUCUUACUGGUUUGUGGGGUGAGUGAUGUUGAAGGGAGCGAGUCCAAAACACCUCUCACACCCACCCCCAAAAGAAAAGAAAAAAAUUCCCUUUCAAAACCCAACAUGGUGAAAAUGACAUUUCGGUUGAGGCGGCUAAUAAAUCUUGGCAGAAGGCGGCCGGAGGAGUGGAAGUAUGGGCUCCCUCGUCAGCGAUGUGGACGGUGAUGGUGGGUGGAAGGGGGGAAGAAGGGUAGCCACAUAAGAGGAGGUUUGUGUUAGCACGGGACGAGAUGAGGUGUAAGGGGAGUUCUGCUGGAUUAGGGAGAGUGGAACAUCUUGCUGCCGAAAUUGUGUGCAUCGAUCGACACGUUUCUGUUACAACCACCCCAAACCUGAGACCUGUAUUUAGGCUGCAUGCGGAAUAAGCAGCUUUUCCUCAGCGGGCCUGUGACUCGAGCCGCCGCUGGAGAGAUUUGGUCCAUGCCCCGGGGUAGGACAUCAACUGAGAGUGUGUUCAAACAGCGGAUCUUCGCCGAGGAAAAAGCAAAAGGAGGACUGUAAACACACUGAAGCAAACACACAGCACCAGUGAAAUUCCCUCAUUUAAGGAUCGUGACCUCCUUCUGCGCAUUAUCACGGAAAGAAAGACCCCCCCCCCGUGUUGCCGAAUCAAUUAAAAACAACCAUACAGAAUGGAAGGAUUAGAAAAAAAAACGCACAGCAGAUAAGAGUGUUUGAAAUCCUCAUUUAUCAGAUAAAAUGAUUAUCCUGGAAAGUAUUUUGGAGUGGCCAUUAAAAACAAUGCGGUGGGAUUACGAGGUCUCACAAAGUUUACAGUUAAAUGCCAAACGGCUUUGAUUGACUCACUGAGGCUCAUCCAUGUUAAGAUAAAACAGACUGACAUGCCUAGAAAUACAAAAAACACAGGCCGGAAAGAACUAAUGGUUUGGUUGGUGUUGUGCCAGAAUGUCCAGAUGACCCAAUCCGAGGCUGGUUCAUGGUUUUGUUGCGUCUACUGGUAUUCCCUUAACAUUGCGACUCAAAUAAGUAAUUAACACGAUUUGAUGAAGAUGUAGAAUUUGGGACAAAUCCACAGGAAUCUUUGCUUUUGAUGUGUAGCUUGUCAUGCUAACAGCCUCCAAAAAAUGGAUGCAUGCAACACUUUGAAACUCGACUGUUGUAUCAAGCAUCAUUUUGGUUUACCCACCUUUUUCCAUUCUGCGCAGCACCGCCGUCGAGGGAGCAGCUCGAGGACGGAGCGGAGCGGCUUUGUUCUGAGGCGAUGCUGACAGUCUCUUUAUCUCCUCCUGUCAGACAGAACUCUGUUUGAUCUGCAGCUUCUUUUGCACAUCUUCCACAUUCUGGUCAGAUGACCUCAGCUUGCUUUGCUUCAACAACAAGAAAAAAGUGUGAGGGAAAAGUGGUUGUGUUGCAAUUAAGGAGUGACCUUUACAUGCUUUUGUGAGUUUCGCACAUACAGUGGAGUAUAUGUUCUUUAUUGACGCAAUGCUAGUGAAUCUAAUCUGCCGUCUCUAUCUUCAUCUCCCAGGGUGACUUUUUUUUUUUUUUAGUAGUUCACAUCACAAACGGCAAUUAAAAGGGAUGUGCCACACUGACUACGUAUAGAGAGAGACAGAAAGCGGGAGAAGGAUGUAAAGAGAAGAAGUAUGCCACCUCUUCCUCAAUAAAACCGCCACUGACACCA
This is a long non-coding RNA of Syngnathus typhle (broad-nosed pipefish), 2128 nucleotides long. RefSeq lists it as uncharacterized. NCBI's taxonomy places the organism in Eukaryota, Metazoa, Chordata, Actinopteri, Syngnathiformes, Syngnathidae. The transcript has 3 exons. The record is from RefSeq and is a predicted model, not a curated record.